CGCUUUCGGGCGGGGAUGAGUGGCGAACGGGUGAGUAACACGUGGGUAAUCUGCCCUGCACUCUGGGAUAAGCCCGGGAAACUGGGUCUAAUACCGGAUAUGAUGCCUGAGCGCAUGCUCGGGUGUGGAAAGUUCCGGCGGUGCAGGAUGAGCCCGCGGCCUAUCAGCUUGUUGGUGGGGUGAUGGCCUACCAAGGCGACGACGGGUAGCCGGCCUGAGAGGGCGACCGGCCACACUGGGACUGAGACACGGCCCAGACUCCUACGGGAGGCAGCAGUGGGGAAUAUUGCACAAUGGGCGGAAGCCUGAUGCAGCGACGCCGCGUGAGGGAUGACGGCCUUCGGGUUGUAAACCUCUUUCAGCAGGGAAGAAGCGCAAGUGACGGUACCUGCAGAAGAAGCACCGGCUAACUACGUGCCAGCAGCCGCGGUAAUACGUAGGGUGCAAGCGUUGUCCGGAAUUAUUGGGCGUAAAGAGCUCGUAGGCGGUUUGUCGCGUCGAUUGUGAAAGCCCGGGGCUCAACCCCGGGUCUGCAGUCGA
RNAcentral lists this ribosomal RNA (540 nucleotides) under bacterium SL2.21. RNAcentral's name for it is "bacterial SSU rRNA". It matches the Rfam family "Bacterial small subunit ribosomal RNA", at positions 75 to 630 of the family's 1533-position model. The record is from RNAcentral.